AUACGAAGGGGGCUAGCGUUGUUCGGAAUUACGGGGCGUAAAGCGCGCGUAGGCGGUUUGGUCAGUUAGGGGUGAAAUCCCAGGGCUUAACCCUGGAACUGCCUCUAAUACUGCCAGUCUUGAGUUCGGGAGAGGUGAGUGGAAUUCCUAGUGUAGAGGUGAAAUUCGUAGAUAUUAGGAAGAACACCAGUGGCGAAGGCGGCUCACUGGCCCGAUACUGACGCUGAGGCGCGAAAGCGUGGGGAGCAAACAGGAUUAGAAACCCUAGUAGUCC
This 274-nucleotide ribosomal RNA is filed under the name uncultured bacterium. Its description in RNAcentral is "partial 16S ribosomal RNA". It matches the Rfam family "Bacterial small subunit ribosomal RNA", at positions 523 to 796 of the family's 1533-position model. The record is from RNAcentral.